CCUACGGGUGGCAGCAGUGAGGAAUAUUGGUCAAUGGCCGGAAGGCUGAACCAGCCAAGCCGCGUGAAGGACGAAGGUGCCAAGCAUUGUAAACUUCUUUUACAUGGGAAUAAAACAGGGUAUGCAUACCCUCUUGUAUGUAUCAUAUGAAUAAGGAUCGGCUAACUCCGUGCCAGCAGCCGCGGUAAUACGGAGGAUCCGAGCGUUAUCCGGAUUUAUUGGGUUUAAAGGGAGCGUAGGUGGAUUGUUAAGUCAGUUGUGAAAGUUUGCGGCUCAACCGUAAAAUUGCAGUUGAAACUGGCAGUCUUGAGUACAGUAGAGGUGAGCGGAAUUCGUAGUGUAGCGGUGAAAUGCUUAGAUAUCACGAAGAACUCCGAUUGCGAAGGCAGCUCACUGGACUGCAACUGACACUGAUGCUCGAAAGUGUGGGUAUCAAACAGGAUUAGAUACCCGUGUAGUC
This 460-nucleotide ribosomal RNA is filed under the name uncultured bacterium. Its description in RNAcentral is "partial 16S ribosomal RNA". It matches the Rfam family "Bacterial small subunit ribosomal RNA", at positions 338 to 795 of the family's 1533-position model. The record is from RNAcentral.